CAAAACGAAGAAUACCGAUUCUUCCAGAUUUCACAAUCGGACAAACAGUGUUCGAAAUGGAUUCCAUUUUGGGAUUACAGUUUUGCCCUGAAUAGUUGAAUAUAUAAGAGGGAUCUCUGGUACUAUCCUAAUUCGAGAAGCCUCCAUUGUCGUCAGCAUCUGCUUUUAGCCGACAUCAAACUUCUCCAUCAAGAUCAACAUCAGCACAGACUUGGGAUCCAUUCACGUGCUAUUGUCAUGAUUGAAACAGAAAGAAGAAGACCUUUGAGCAAUUCAAAGGAAUUCAAGAUGUGUAAUUUAUAUAAGGGGUUCAAACCAGGUGGGUCUUCUCUGGCCCAUGCUUUUGGUUUAGUUUGGAUUCUUAGAUAACUUGCCGGAAUUGAUCAGAAAAAAUGCGUUUGGGCACCAGUACAAUGGCCAGCAGUGUUUAACUUGAGUCAUUCGGUCAUAGUUUCAAAUUCAGUCUUCAGCUUUAAAGGCUUAACUUGGUUGAUUACAGCAGUUAUGGCUGGUUGCUUCGUAUGAAUUACAUAUUGGCUAAAAGCAUUUCAGCAAGUCAGGUAGAUAUAUGGCGCCUGUCGCAGCUAAAGAAACAUUCUACACCUCAGGAUGUUUGCCAAGAUUUUGCACCAGUGGCAAAGAAUGAUGGAAGCAGCAACUUUCAAAUUAAGACAUUUGUAAAUGCCAUAGCAGCACCGAUGUACCUAAUUGGAUCAAAAUCGCUCAUGUAUGUAUCUGGUUAACAUACCAGAUUUUCAAAUCUGUAAAAGAUACUCUGAUUACGGACAUAAUAUUUUGAACGUUUGUUUUUGUUGUAGUUAAACUUAUAACCAACCCGCAGCAUCACGCGGAAUUGAUCUCUAUCGUUGUCUACACAAGCAAUUACUCUCCUGAACAACAGUAAUGUUAUGAGAUCUAAUUCAUUUACGUAGUUCUGAUUACGGACAUAAUAUUAUGUAAUAAUUUCUUUCUUCCAUUACGUAGUUCUAAUUCAUUGA
Molecule: long non-coding RNA, 998 nt
Organism: Rosa rugosa (rugosa rose)
Lineage: Eukaryota; Viridiplantae; Streptophyta; Magnoliopsida; Rosales; Rosaceae
Exons: 6
Source: RefSeq, a predicted model, not a curated record